GCGAUACAGGGUGACAGCCCCGUACACAAAAAUGCACAUGCUGUGAGCUCGAUGAGUAGGGCGGGACACGUGGUAUCCUGUCUGAAUAUGGGGGGACCAUCCUCCAAGGCUAAAUACUCCUGACUGACCGAUAGUGAACCAGUACCGUGAGGGAAAGGCGAAAAGAACCCCGGCGAGGGGAGUGAAAAAGAACCUGAAACCGUGUACGUACAAGCAGUGGGAGCACAGAGCAAUCUGUGUGACUGCGUACCUUUUGUAUAAUGGGUCAGCGACUUAUAUUCUGUAGCAAGGUUAACCGAAUAGGGGAGCCGAAGGGAAACCGAGUCUUAACUGGGCGUUAAGUUGCAGGGUAUAGACCCGAAACCCGGUGAUCUAGCCAUGGGCAGGUUGAAGGUUGGGUAACACUAACUGGAGGACCGAACCGACUAAUGUUGAAAAAUUAGCGGAUGACUUGUGGCUGGGGGUGAAAGGCCAAUCAAACCGGGAGAUAGCUGGUUCUCCCCGAAAGCUAUUUAGGUAGCGCCUCGUGAAUUCAUCUCCGGGGGUAGAGCACUGUUUCGGCAAGGGGGUCAUCCCGACUUACCAACCCGAUGCAAACUGCGAAUACCGGAGAAUGUUAUCACGGGAGACACACGGCGGGUGCUAACGUCCGUCGUGAAGAGGGAAACAACCCAGACCGCCAGCUAAGGUCCCAAAGUCAUGGUUAAGUGGGAAACGAUGUGGGAAGGCCCAGACAGCCAGGAUGUUGGCUUAGAAGCAGCCAUCAUUUAAAGAAAGCGUAAUAGCUCACUGGUCGAGUCGGCCUGCGCGGAAGAUGUAACGGGGCUAAACCAUG
This 835-nucleotide ribosomal RNA is filed under the name Escherichia coli. RNAcentral's name for it is "partial 23S ribosomal RNA". It matches the Rfam family "Bacterial large subunit ribosomal RNA", at positions 354 to 1191 of the family's 2925-position model. RNAcentral also lists the same sequence under 1 other name. The record is from RNAcentral. Lineage: Bacteria; Pseudomonadati; Pseudomonadota; Gammaproteobacteria; Enterobacterales; Enterobacteriaceae.